Molecule: unclassified non-coding RNA, 240 nt
Filed under: soil metagenome
Description: partial contains 5.8S ribosomal RNA, internal transcribed spacer 2, and large subunit ribosomal RNA
Source: RNAcentral
AACUGAUACUACCUGCGGGAACCUGCGGAGGGAUCAUUACAGGACUCGCAAGACUCCUACAACCCUGUGAACUUAACUAUAAGCACGUUGCUUCGGCGGGUGUCUCGGCGAGGGUUCUCCCUCCCCGGGGCGCUAAGCCCGCCGGCAGCCUACUAUACUCUGUCUCUUUGCGUUGGCAUCUCGAGUACAAACAAACAAGUUAAAACUUUCAACAAUGGAUCUCUAGAUCGGAAGAGCACA